This 253-nucleotide ribosomal RNA is filed under the name uncultured bacterium. RNAcentral's name for it is "partial 16S ribosomal RNA". It matches the Rfam family "Bacterial small subunit ribosomal RNA", at positions 524 to 776 of the family's 1533-position model. The record is from RNAcentral.
GACGAACCGUCCGAACGUUAUCCGGAUUCACUGGGUUUAAAGGGUGCGUAGGUGGGUCUGUAAGUCAGUGGUGAAAUCUCCGGGCUUAACCCGGAAACUGCCAUUGAUACUAUAGGUCUUGAAUUAUCUGGAGGUGAGCGGAAUAUGUCAUGUAGCGGUGAAAUGCUUAGAUAUGACAUAGAACACCAAUUGCGAAGGCAGCUCACUACGGAUAUAUUGACACUGAGGCACGAAAGCGUGGGGAUCAAACAGG